RNAcentral lists this long non-coding RNA (2179 nucleotides) under Anas zonorhyncha (Eastern spot-billed duck). RNAcentral describes it as "lncRNA (ENSAZOG00000002691.1)". The record is from RNAcentral. Lineage: Eukaryota; Metazoa; Chordata; Aves; Anseriformes; Anatidae.
AUGGGGCUGUGCUACAGCCUGCGCUCCCGCCUGGCCGCGGCGCGCCCCUCGGUGCCGUACGGCGGCCGGGGCGAGGCGGACCCCCCCCCGGUGACAGCGGAGCACGGCGACCCGCAGGUGCGGCACCGGCUGCGGCAGGACCUGGUGGCCAAGGAGCGGGCGGACAAGAAGCGGAGCAAGAGCAUCGACAAGACGCUGAAGGCGGAGAAGAGGGAGUACAAGCAGACGCACAGGCUGCUGCUGCUCGCUCUUCAGGCUGAUGUGCUCCUGCAGACACAGAGCAAUGGUGUGAAUGGUGAAGGACACUGCAGGUGGCUGCUUUUUCUCUGAGACUGACAGAACUUAAACGAGAACUGUACCGAUGCUUCAGGUCUGGUCUGUAUCAGAAGUUACUUUAUCUUUAAGGUACACCUGCAUUAGCUCGCUGCAAACAUCAAGAGCUGAAAAGCUGCACAGCAAAUCCAGAGUUUACUCCUGUCACAUGCUUUGGUGUACAGAAUGUAGUGAAUGCACAGUCAGGUGUGUCUGUGCCUGGGUGUGUUUUGUUUUGUGAUGUGGAUAACAUACCUUAAAGCUAUAAGCUCUGGUCUGUUACAUGCAAUAUUAGAAUGCUGGUCAGUGUGACUGAUGCUUGACAUUCAGUGUUGCGUUUUUUUUAGACCUACUACAGUUCCUUGCUUUGUCAGUGUUCUCAGGGAUGUGCAGUGCAUGUGGGUAUCCCUGUCCUGUUACUUGAUUUAUUUUUUUUCCUCUUUCAUUGCUUUUCAACCAUUUCUUGACAUCAGGUAAAUUACUACUUCCUAAAACUUCUCUUAAUUUUUGUGGGACAAAGGUUUUACAUCUGCUGUAUCUUUGAAGCAGUAAUUUGACUCCAUACUUGUGGUAGUACAUGAGUUUUUCCCUUUGUGCAUUUCCCUUUCACACAAACAAUCAGAUGUGAUUUCAUUGGAUUUUGUUUAAUGCGCUGCAUGUGGGUGUACCAAGUCUCAACUUAAGACUCUGCUCAUAAUUAUGACAGUUCAGGGCUACUACAGUGUAUUGAAGGGUGUUUUUCAGAGUGUGGGGGCUUUCUUUGUUUUGGGAACAGUCUUGAUCCUAAAUUGGAAGUGUGCUUAUGGGGGAAUUUUAAACUUUGCUGUAGAACAAUUCCACUAUGUGUGCGUCCCACUGGUGACUUUAAUAUUGAUCUUCCUUGACCUUUUUUUUAAGACUUGUAUUAUAAUUCAUCAUAAAUUUCGUUUGUUUUCAUAUAUUUGUUAUAUAAUAAAACCCCAGGGAAAGUAAUAACACUUUGAUGUUUUUGAUCAGUUAGUAUUUUUCCAACAACAAUUCAAAAAAUCAUCAGAAAUGUGCUCAGCUCUCCUGGUGCUUGUGUUGCUUUGCUAUGAACUCUCACCCAUGUGAGAGGUACUUAUGGCUUAUUCCCAUAGAGAAAUGGGGACUUAGGUAUCUUUGUAUGUAAAUAGAGAUGCAUGUACUUGUUAUCUGGGGUAUUUAACUACAACAUACUAAACAGUUCUGAAUCUUACCUAAAUCAGUUCUUAAAUAAUUGUUAGAAGUGUUCUUACUUAUAGGUACAAAUAUGAAUACAGGCAUGCAAAUUAAAAGCUUUUGUAGGGGAAAUACAUUACACGGGGAAAAAAAAUGCUUUAAGAAGCUAGAAAAUAUCAGCAUGAAGACUAACCGCAGUUGCUCUUUCUGUGUGUGUGCUGCAUGGUAAGCCCCUGGAUAACAUAUAAUUAAAGACUGUCUUGUAUGGUUUACAUUGUAUUUUCUUCCACAGGGCUUGUACUUCAUUGAGUGCACAAGAUGGAUGUUGUGCAGUGAAUGAGUGGCUAUUCAAUAUUCUUAUCCUCCUCGUACAAUGUGUUACCCCGUGCCCUAUUUAUGACACGCCAUCCGUACCCCGUACUGAAUAAAGAACUGUUGAACUCCUUGUGGGCUUUUCUGCAGCCCUGAUCACUGCAGGGAAUGUAGUCUCGACAAAUGUCAGUGGCUGUGUCUGCAUGGCACUACUGUGAAAUGAGGUGGCAUCGUUCUCCUGCUUUUAUGGAUGCUGGGGAGGGAAAUACGGCCAUAGAAGGACUAAGGCUAAAGCUGUCCGAAGCUGCCAUAAAGUUUAAAUGAGUGAUCUUUGCCUAAUGUUAACUUUUCUGCAUAGCACUCAGCUUCUUUUAUU